RNAcentral lists this microRNA precursor (165 nucleotides) under Medicago truncatula (barrel medic). Its description in RNAcentral is "MIR2619 microRNA precursor family". It matches the Rfam family "MIR2619 microRNA precursor family". Lineage: Eukaryota; Viridiplantae; Streptophyta; Magnoliopsida; Fabales; Fabaceae. The record is from Rfam by way of RNAcentral.
AAACAGUCCCUUGUGUUUUGAUUUUUUGGCAGUUUUGGAUCUCCAAGGCAAAAAAAAAAAAAUUGACACGUGACACCUCACUUAGGGUGUCACGUCAACGUUGACCGAGUUAACAAUGAACUGGGGUCCAAAACUGCCAAAAAAUCAAAACAUAGGGGACUAUUU